Long non-coding RNA from Ornithorhynchus anatinus (platypus), 170 nucleotides. RefSeq lists it as uncharacterized. NCBI's taxonomy places the organism in Eukaryota, Metazoa, Chordata, Mammalia, Monotremata, Ornithorhynchidae. The transcript has 2 exons. The record is from RefSeq and is a predicted model, not a curated record.
UAUUAUAAGUAACUUCCGAGUGUCAGGAAGUAGGAGAGGGAAGCAAAAAGCAUAUUCAAAAAUGAGAACGGGAUCUCUCUCAGCAGGAAGCCCUCUGAGACCGGUGACCUGGAAGCAGCUCUGCUAGUAAGUGUCGGUAGGACACCGGAUAACAGUGAGACUUUCAGAGA